This 120-nucleotide ribosomal RNA is filed under the name Phascolarctos cinereus (koala). The record is from RNAcentral. Lineage: Eukaryota; Metazoa; Chordata; Mammalia; Diprotodontia; Phascolarctidae.
GUUGACAGCCAUACUACUUUGAACAUGCCCAGUCUCCUCUGAUCUCUGAAAUCUAAGCAGGGAUGGGCCUGAUUAGUACUUGGAUGGGAGACCUCCCGGGAAUAAUAGAUGCUGUAGGCU